GCGCCCUUAGCUCAGUUGGAUAGAGCAGCCGCCUUCUAAGCGGCAGGUCAGAGGUUCGAAUCCUCUAGGGCGCGCCA
Molecule: transfer RNA, 77 nt
Filed under: Alphaproteobacteria bacterium
Lineage: Bacteria; Pseudomonadati; Pseudomonadota; Alphaproteobacteria
Description: tRNA-Arg
Rfam family: tRNA
About the family: Transfer RNA (tRNA) molecules are approximately 80 nucleotides in length.
Source: RNAcentral